GACGAACGCUGGCGGCGCGCCUAACACAUGCAAGUCGAACGGAGAAAGAAACAGCUUGCUGGAUCUUUCUUAGUGGCGGACGGGUGAGUAACACGUGAGCAACCUGCCCUUCAGAGUGGAAUAACGUUUGGAAACGAACGCUAAUACCGCAUAACACCAUUGGAUGGCAUCAUCUGGUGGUCAAAGAUUUAUCGCUGAAAGAUGGCCUCGCGUCUGAUUAGCUAGUUGGUGAGGUAACGGCCCACCAAGGCGACGAUCAGUAGCCGGACUGAGAGGUUGACCGGCCACAUUGGGACUGAGAUACGGCCCAGACUCCUACGGGAGGCAGCAGUGGGGAAUAUUGGGCAAUGGGCGCAAGCCUGACCCAGCAACGCCGCGUGAAGGAAGAAGGCUUUCGGGUUGUAAACUUCUUUUGUCAGGGAAGAGUAGAAGACUGUACCUGGCGAAUAAGCCACGGCUAACUACGUG
Molecule: ribosomal RNA, 468 nt
Filed under: uncultured bacterium
Lineage: Bacteria
Description: bacterial SSU rRNA
Rfam family: Bacterial small subunit ribosomal RNA
Source: RNAcentral